GUUCCCUACGGGACGCAGCAGUAGGGAAUCUUCCACAAUGGACGAAAGUCUGAUGGAGCAACGCCGCGUGAGUGAAGAAGGGUUUCGGCUCGUAAAGCUCUGUUGGUAGUGAAGAAAGAUAGAGGUAGUAACUGGCCUUUAUUUGACGGUAAUUAUUUUGAAAGUCACGGCUAACUACGUGCCAGCAGCCGCGGUAAUACGUAGGUGGCAAGCGUUGUCCGGAUUUAUUGGGCGUAAAGCGAGUGCAG
This 248-nucleotide ribosomal RNA is filed under the name uncultured bacterium. RNAcentral's name for it is "partial 16S ribosomal RNA". It matches the Rfam family "Bacterial small subunit ribosomal RNA", at positions 334 to 574 of the family's 1533-position model. The record is from RNAcentral.